UGGUAUGGUGUCGUGUGGUAAAGUAUGGUGCCGAUGUGUCAAGUGUGUAUGGUGAUAAGGGAGUGUGAAGGGUAUGGUGUUAUAUGUAAUUCUGGGGUGCGUGUGCUUAGAUAUGGUGCUGUAGGUAUGGUGAAAUAUGGUGAAGAGUUAAAUGUCCCUGGUUAUAGAUAUGGUGUUGUUGGGUAUGGUGUCGGUAUGGUGUAUGGUGCUGUGUGAUAUGGUGCGUGGAGUGGUAUAGAAGAAUGUGGUAUUGUUUUGGUGGCUAUGGUGAGGUAUGGUGUCGUGAGGUGUAUAAGAGUAUGUGAUGUUUUCUGUAUAGUGUCGUGUGGUGAUGUUAAAUUAGACAACUGUAUAUUAUGAUGUUUUGGGGCAAUGUAUGGUGUAAAAUGGCGUGUUAUGGUGUUUUAUGGUGUAGUAUAGUGUAUCGUGGUUCGUUCUAGUGAAUCUUGCCGUUUUAUACUGUGCAUUAUGAUCUGUAAUAGCUCGUUAUGGUGUGGUAUGGUGUAUUAUGGUGCGUUAUGGUGUGUGGUAUGGUGUGUGGUAUGGUGUGUGUGUUAUGGUGUGGUAUGAUUUGUUAUUGCGUGUUAUGGUGUUCUAUAGUGUGUGAUAUGGUGUGUGUUAUGGUGUGUGGUAUGGUGUGUGGUAUGGUGUCUGAUAUGGUGUGUGAUAUGGUGUGGCUAUGUAUGGUAUGGUGUGGUAUGAUUUGUUAUUGCGUGUGUUAUGAUGUGGUAUAGUGUGUGUUAUGGUGUGUGGUAUGGUGUGUGUUAUGGUGUAUGCUAUGGUCUAUGGUAUGGUGUGUGUGUUAUGGUGUGUGUUAUGGUGUAUGCUAUGGUCUAUGGUAUGGUGUGUGUGUUAUGGUGUGUGUUAUGGUGUAUGCUAUGGUCUAUGGUAUGGUGUGUGUUAUGGUGUAUGCUAUGGUCUAUGGUAUGGUGUGUGUUAUGGUGUAUGCUAUGGUCUAUGGUAUGGUGUGUGUGUUAUGGUGUGUGUUAUGGUGUAUGCUAUGGUCUAUGGUAUGGUGUGUGUUAUGGUGUGUGUUAUGGUGUAUGCUAUGGUCUAUGGUAUGGUGUGUGUGUUAUGGUGUGUGGUAUGGUGUAUGCUAUGGUCUAUGGUAUGGUGUGUGUGUUAUGGUGUGUGGUUUAGUGUGUUAUGGUGUGUUAUGGUGAGUGGUAUAGUGUGUUAUGGUGUGGAAUGUGCGUGUUAUGGUGUGUGUGGUAUGGUGUCAUGGUGUGUGUCAUGGUGUGCGGGGCGUCUCAACACUUACUAAAAAAAACACCGAACAUAAAGUAACAAACAACACACACACACAGCCCUGCCCUGCCCUGGCCUGACCCAACACAACAACACACGACGCACGACACAGGAGGCGGCGAGGGGGGGGACCCAAAACGUGUAAAAACAGAUGACGCAACACUCCACCAACACACAUCAUUAGUAUUACCGUGACUAUAAUUCCCCACAACAAGAGUCCGGGCUGAUCCUUCCCCUUGUGUACCUGUGUGACGCGACGGUGGACAGGUGAGGUGAGGUGAGGCUGGGUGACCUUACUUUAAACCUGGUCUUAAUUAGUGACCUUUUAACACUCCAUGGACAGGUAAAGAGGGUUGAGUUUAGCAUCUUGAUAUAUAUGAGUUUUUGUUUGUAUCUUGAUAUAUAUGAGUUUUUGUUUGUAUCUUGAUAUAUAUGAGUUUUUGUUUGUAUCUUGAUAUAUAUGAGUUUUUGUUUGUAUCUUGAUAUAUAUGAGUUUUUGUUUGUAUCUUGAUAUAUAUGAGUUUUUGUUUAUUAACUUUUUGACCUUUCUGAUUGUUUUUUUCUUAUCUGAUCUUUUUCUGCCUUCUGACCUUGACUAGUGACCUUUCAACACCCAUGGACAAGUAAGAAGGGGUGAGUUUAACAACCUGAUACAUAUGACAGGCUUAUUUUGCAACCUUUUGACCUUUCUGACAUUUUCUAUCUUUUCCUAACCUUAUCUCACCGUAAGUACUGCUUUACUGACCUUUUCUGACUUUUUCUGACCCUGACACGAUAAAGGUAAUCUAAUUAACACAUUUUACGUCCAUAUUAUUCAAACAGGUAAGACCCUUUAUUAGUUCACCUUUACGACUUAAUCAACACACCUGACACAAGAGAGGUCCUUUAAUUAACCUAUAAUCUUCACCUAUUCAUACAGAUGAGAAAAUAAAUUUAUUCACCUUUCCCAACUAACACACCUGGCGUAAACAGGUUCAUUAAUACCCCUUGAUUAAUUAUGCAGGUAAAGUCAAUCAACAAGUACUUUAACAUCUUUCUCUGCAGGUAACAUUAACACACCUGACAAUUUCAAUAUUAUUUUGCGCCUGUAUCUACCUGUCUAUAGAGGUACCACUCAUUAGUUAACAGAGCUUUUCCAGGUUAACUGAUACUGAGAUUCACCUUCACCUGGUCACUUUCACUUUCGUUUUCACCCACUAAUCACAUUUCAUUUACCUGUUCACCUCUUUACUCAUUCACCUUCUCCUUACCUGUUCACAUUCAUUAAUAGAGUUCCCAUUUCCGAUCACUUUCAUUUCCCUUUUCUCACCUCUACCUGUCCAUUAGCACCUCAUUAGCACCUUCAUUUUAAUCAGUUUUUCACUUUCAAUUAGUCAUUUUCACUUUCCCGUUCCUAUUCACCUUCCUAUUAUUUUUUAACAUCACCUUUUACCAUGUUCAGCAAUCCAACCUUACAUUUAUUUUCACUCUUCAUUUUCACCUGUUCACUUUCACCUAAUUAUCAUCACCUGUCUAUCAUUACCUUCACUUUCCCUCUUCGUCUACACCUGUCAACUUUCACCUCAUUAUCUUCAUCUGUCAUUCACCUUCACUUUCACUCAUCUUCACCUGUCCACUUUUACCUAAUCGUCUUCACCUGUCUAUCAUCACCUUCACUUUCCCUCUCCAUCUUCACCUCCAUCCUCUCACCUGUCCACCUCGUCACACCUGGUCACGGGGGACAGCCAGGAUCAUUAACAGGUAAUCAUCACCUGGAUUCUGACCGCAGGUGUGUUCCACGUGUGAGCAUAAGUCUGGGGGAAGUACAACACUGUGUAAAACGUUAAUUAAGAAAGGGAGUGGAUGGGUGGAGUGGGGUGGAUGUGGAGUGGAUGUGGAGUGAACAGUGAAAGGAAUGAGUAUGGAUUAGGAAUAGAAUAGUGUGUGGAAUGAACAAUUGUAGUGGAGUGAUUGUGGGAGGAUGUGUGGAGUGGAUGGAGUAAACAGCUGAGGCGGGAGUGGAAUGACAUAGAAUGCAGGUGAUUAUAGGUGGAGAGAGUGGAAUAAAAGAGAGUGGAGUAGGAUGGGAGUGAGUGAAAGAGGUGGGAGUGUGAGGGAUGGA
This is a long non-coding RNA of Eriocheir sinensis (Chinese mitten crab), 3349 nucleotides long. RefSeq lists it as uncharacterized. The record is from RefSeq and is a predicted model, not a curated record. The transcript has 2 exons. Lineage: Eukaryota; Metazoa; Arthropoda; Malacostraca; Decapoda; Varunidae.